UGGGGAAUAUUGCACAAUGGACGGAAGUCUGAUGCAGCAACGCCGCGUGCGGGAUGACGGCCUUCGGGUUGUAAACCGCUUUUUCUCAUGACGAAGUUUUUUGACGGUAGUGGUAGAAGAAGCACCGGCUAACUACGUGCCAGCAGCCGCGGUGAUACGUAGGGUGCGAGCGUUGUCCGGAAUUAUUGGGCGUAAAGAGCUUGUAGGCGGUUUGUCGCGUCGAAAGUGUAAACUCAGUGCUUAACGCUGAGCCUGCUGUCGAUACGGGCUGACUAGAGGAGGGUAGGGGAGAAUGGAAUUCCCGGUGGAGCGGUGGAAUGCGCAGAUAUCGGGAGGAACACCAGUGGCGAAGGCGGUUCUCUGGACCUUUCCUGACGCUGAGAAGCGAAAGCGUGGGUAGCAAACAGG
RNAcentral lists this ribosomal RNA (408 nucleotides) under Fusobacteriota bacterium. RNAcentral's name for it is "Fusobacteria bacterium partial 16S ribosomal RNA". It matches the Rfam family "Bacterial small subunit ribosomal RNA", at positions 355 to 776 of the family's 1533-position model. The record is from RNAcentral. Lineage: Bacteria; Fusobacteriati; Fusobacteriota.